AACAAACGCUGGCGGCGUGCCUAACACAUGCAAGUCGUACGGGAAAGGGUCCUUCGGGACCUGAGUAAAGUGGCGCACGGGUGAGGAGCGCGUGGAUAAUCUACCCUUCAGCUGGAACCAACUCAACGAAAGGGGGGCUAAUACCGAAUAAUACUGCCCGACUUUGGUCGAGCAGGCAAAGAGAGCCUCGGCUUGAAAGCACUCGUUGAAGGAUGAGUUCGGGUACCAUUAGCUUGUUUGUAGGGUAAUGGACUAACAAGGCGACGUUGAUUUACUGGUCUGAGAAGAUGAGCAGCCACACUGGAACUGAGACACGGUCCAGACUCCUACGGGGGGCAGCAGUGAGGAAUCUUGCGCAAUGGGGGAAACCCUGACGCAGCAACGCCGCGUGAGUGAGGAAGGUCUUCGGAUCGUAAAGCUCUGUCAGUUGGAAAGAAAUGUCUGAGAGUCAAUCCCUUUCAGGCUUGACGGUACCAACAGAGGAAGCACCGGCUAACUCCGUGCCAGCAGCCGCCGUAA
Molecule: ribosomal RNA, 519 nt
Filed under: uncultured bacterium
Lineage: Bacteria
Description: partial 16S ribosomal RNA
Rfam family: Bacterial small subunit ribosomal RNA
Source: RNAcentral